Molecule: ribosomal RNA, 253 nt
Filed under: uncultured bacterium
Lineage: Bacteria
Description: partial 16S ribosomal RNA
Rfam family: Bacterial small subunit ribosomal RNA
Source: RNAcentral
UACGUAGGGUGCGAGCGUUAAUCGGAAUUACUGGGCGUAAAGCGUGCGCAGGCGGUUCGUUGUGUCUGUGGUGAAAGCCCCGGGCUUAACCUGGGAAUGGCCAUGGAAACUGGCGAGCUGGAGUGUGGCAGAGGGGGGUGGAAUUCCGCGUGUAGCAGUGAAAUGCGUAGAGAUGCGGAGGAACACCGAUGGCGAAGGCAGCCUCCUGGGAUAACACUGACGCUCAUGCACGAAAGCGUGGGGAGCAAACAGG